This 327-nucleotide ribosomal RNA is filed under the name Triticum aestivum (bread wheat). RNAcentral's name for it is "partial small subunit ribosomal RNA". Lineage: Eukaryota; Viridiplantae; Streptophyta; Magnoliopsida; Poales; Poaceae. The record is from RNAcentral.
AUGUCUAGGAGAAUGUACCAAGGUGGUUCCUCGGUGAAGAAAGGGCCCAGGAUUGCUAUACGUGAGCAAGACGUUGAAUUACCCAGGGAUGCAGAUGUACGAGCCUGUGAGUGGACAUCCGAUGAUUUUAUGGUGGAAGCAAGUUUUAAGGAGGAAUUUGACGCGUAUGUGUGUAAUGCUGAUCUGGAGGACUUCUUACAAGAUAAGUGUCCUCGGUACUAUCAAUUGACUGAUUCCUUUGUGCGGAGGUUUAAAUAUAACUGUACGUGUAAUUCUCCUAGUGUCCUAUUUGAUAUUUAUGAUACAUCUUAUACCAUGGACUCAUAG